Molecule: long non-coding RNA, 423 nt
Organism: Pollicipes pollicipes
Lineage: Eukaryota; Metazoa; Arthropoda; Thecostraca; Pollicipedomorpha; Pollicipedidae
Exons: 3
Source: RefSeq, a predicted model, not a curated record
CCAAACAGGGCAGUAGAACACUGCGGCGAGGUAGCUGUCUGCGUGCAUGAGCUAGGAGCUAUAUCUGUAGUCUAUAUUGGUUGUCUACAAGAUAUGGGAUGAACCUCAGUUGCAAUGCUUGUCUAUGUUUAUUUCAUAUUUGUUGCGGUGUUCUCAUAUUGGAUGUUUGCCGGAGCAUAACUUAUUGACAAGAACUCACUAUCUUCUAUUUUCACAGGCCCAUCAUGAACUGCAGUACGAGGAGCAUCCUGAAAUUAAGCUACAACCUGGGCAGGGCCAGUCACAUACUUCCCAGGAAUGGGCUGCGAAGACAGUCAACAGCGCCAUCUGCUGCAGAGGAUGAGAAAAAGCUGCAGUUUCUGAGUGUGAUGCGGGAAGUGCCUGCUCCAGUGGUGGUGGUGACGGCGGCCGCCCCGGGCCCGG